UUAAAUUGAAGAGUUUGAUCAUGGCUCAGAUUGAACGCUGGCGGCAGGCCUAACACAUGCAAGUCGAGCGGAAACGAGUUAUCUGAACCUUCGGGGAACGAUAACGGCGUCGAGCGGCGGACGGGUGAGUAAUGCCUAGGAAAUUGCCCUGAUGUGGGGGAUAACCAUUGGAAACGAUGG
Molecule: ribosomal RNA, 180 nt
Filed under: Vibrio parahaemolyticus
Lineage: Bacteria; Pseudomonadati; Pseudomonadota; Gammaproteobacteria; Vibrionales; Vibrionaceae
Description: partial 16S ribosomal RNA
Rfam family: Bacterial small subunit ribosomal RNA
Source: RNAcentral